RNAcentral lists this ribosomal RNA (459 nucleotides) under uncultured bacterium. RNAcentral describes it as "partial 16S ribosomal RNA". It matches the Rfam family "Bacterial small subunit ribosomal RNA", at positions 338 to 795 of the family's 1533-position model. The record is from RNAcentral.
CCUACGGGAGGCAGCAGUGAGGAAUAUUGGUCAAUGGUCGGGAGACUGAACCAGCCAAGCCGCGUGAGGGAUGAAGGUACAGAGUAUCGUAAACCUCUUUUGUCAGGGAACAAAGGCGGGGACGUGUCCCCGGCUGAGUGUACCUGAAGAAAAAGCAUCGGCUAACUCCGUGCCAGCAGCCGCGGUAAUACGGAGGAUGCGAGCGUUAUCCGGAUUUAUUGGGUUUAAAGGGUGCGUAGGCGGGUUAUCAAGUCAGCGGUAAAAUCGUGGAGCUCAACUCCAUCCAGCCGUUGAAACUGAUGAUCUGGAGUGGGCGAGAAGUAUGCGGAAUGUGUGGUGUAGCGGUGAAAUGCAUAGAUAUCACGCAGAACUCCGAUUGCGAAGGCAGCAUACCGGCGCUCAACUGACGCUCAUGCACGAAAGUGUGGGUAUCGAACAGGAUUAGAUACCCCUGUAGUC